CUUGGCGACCAUAGCGCUYUGGACCCACCUGACUCCAUGCCGAACUCAGUAGUGAAACGAAGCAGCGCCGAUGGUAGUGUGGGGUCUCCCCAUGUGAGAGUAGGACAUCGCCAGGC
Molecule: ribosomal RNA, 116 nt
Filed under: Salinivibrio sp. ML323
Lineage: Bacteria; Pseudomonadati; Pseudomonadota; Gammaproteobacteria; Vibrionales; Vibrionaceae
Source: RNAcentral